This 439-nucleotide ribosomal RNA is filed under the name uncultured bacterium. RNAcentral's name for it is "bacterial SSU rRNA". It matches the Rfam family "Bacterial small subunit ribosomal RNA", at positions 958 to 1398 of the family's 1533-position model. The record is from RNAcentral.
AACGCGAAGAACCUUACCAGGGUUUGACAUCCUGUGCUCAGUCCUUAAUAGGACCUUUCCCGCAAGGGACGCAGAGACAGGUGCUGCAUGGCUGUCGUCAGCUCGUGUCGUGAGAUGUUGGGUUAAGUCCCGCAACGAGCGCAACCCUCGCCUUUAGUUGCCAUCAUUAAGUUGGGCACUCUAAAGGGACCGCCGGCGACAAGCCGGAGGAAGGUGGGGAUGACGUCAAGUCCUCAUGGCCCUUACACCCUGGGCUACACACGUGCUACAAUGGCGGUGACAGUGGGCAGCUACUUCGCAAGAAGCGGCUAAUCCCAAAAAACCGUCCCAGUUCAGAUUGCACUCUGCAACUCGAGUGCAUGAAGGUGGAAUCGCUAGUAAUCGCGGAUCAGCAUUGCCGCGGUGAAUACGUUCCCGGGCCUUGUACACACCGCGCAUA